RNAcentral lists this ribosomal RNA (253 nucleotides) under uncultured bacterium. Its description in RNAcentral is "partial 16S ribosomal RNA". It matches the Rfam family "Bacterial small subunit ribosomal RNA", at positions 524 to 776 of the family's 1533-position model. The record is from RNAcentral.
UACAGAGGGGGCAAGCGUUGUUCGGAAUUACUGGGCGUAAAGGGCUCGUAGGCGGCCAACUAAGUCGGACGUGAAAUCCCCAGGCUCAACCUGGGAACUGCGUCCGAUACUGGAUGGCUUGAAUCCGGGAGAGGGUUGCAGAAUUCCAGGUGUAGCGGUGAAAUGCGUAGAUAUCUGGAGGAAUACCGGCGGCGAAGGCGGCAUCCUGGACCGGCAUUGACGCUGAGGAGCGAAAGCCAGGGGAGCAAACGGG